RNAcentral lists this ribosomal RNA (253 nucleotides) under uncultured bacterium. Its description in RNAcentral is "partial 16S ribosomal RNA". It matches the Rfam family "Bacterial small subunit ribosomal RNA", at positions 524 to 776 of the family's 1533-position model. The record is from RNAcentral.
UACGGAGGGUGCAAGCGUUAUCCGGAUUCACUGGGGGUAAAGGGUGCGUAGGUGGGCAGGUCAGUCAGUGGUGAAAUCUCCGGGCUUAACCCGGAAACUGCCAUUGAUACUAUUUGUCUUGAAUACUGUGGAGGUAGGCGGAAUAUGUCAUGUAGCGGUGAAAUGCUUAGAUAUGACAUAGAACACCAAUUGCGAAGGCAGCUGGCUACACAAUUAUUGACACUGAGGCACGAAAGCGUGGGGAUCAAACAGG